UAGGGAAUCUUCCACAAUGGACGCAAGUCUGAUGGAGCAACGCCGCGUGAGUGAAGAAGGUCUUCGGAUCGUAAAGCUCUGUUGUUGGUGAAGAAGGAUAGAGGCAGUAACUGGUCUUUAUUUGACGGUAAUCAACCAGAAAGUCACGGCUAACUACGUGCCAGCAGCCGCGGUAAUACGUAGGUGGCAAGCGUUGUCCGGAUUUAUUGGGCGUAAAGCGAGCGCAGGCGGAAUGAUAAGUCUGAUGUGAAAGCCCACGGCUCAACCGUGGAACUGCAUCGGAAACUGU
RNAcentral lists this ribosomal RNA (289 nucleotides) under uncultured bacterium. RNAcentral describes it as "partial 16S ribosomal RNA". It matches the Rfam family "Bacterial small subunit ribosomal RNA", at positions 355 to 636 of the family's 1533-position model. The record is from RNAcentral.